AGUAGUUUGACUCCGUGGCUACGAGGACGAACGCUGGCGGCGUGCUUAACACAUGCAAGUCGAACGGGCACUUCGGUGCUAGUGGCGAACGGGUGAGUAAAGCGCAGGUAAUCUGCCGCAAAGUCGGGGACAACGUUCCGAAAGGGACGCUAAUACCGGAUGUUGUACAAGCUUCGCAUGGAGCUUGUACUAAAGAUUUAUCGCUUUGCGAGGAGCCUGCGUCCGAUUAGGCAGUUGGUGGGGUAAAAGCCUACCAAACCGACGAUCGGUAGCCGGUCUGAGAGGAUGAACGGUCACAAUGGAACUGAGACACGGUCCAUACUCC
Molecule: ribosomal RNA, 325 nt
Filed under: uncultured Veillonellaceae bacterium
Lineage: Bacteria; Bacillati; Bacillota; Negativicutes; Veillonellales; Veillonellaceae
Description: bacterial SSU rRNA
Rfam family: Bacterial small subunit ribosomal RNA
Source: RNAcentral